This 700-nucleotide long non-coding RNA is filed under the name Lathyrus oleraceus (garden pea). RNAcentral's name for it is "Pisum sativum (pea) long non-coding RNA (PSAT_LNC018058)". The record is from RNAcentral. Lineage: Eukaryota; Viridiplantae; Streptophyta; Magnoliopsida; Fabales; Fabaceae.
CAACAACAACAAGAUUUCGAAAAAAAACCCAAAAAACCAAAUAGCAAACAUCAAACAUUUUUUAGAAAUCCCAGAGAUUAAGAACAUCAAAUUUCCGAAAAAGCCAGCAAACCAUAACACAAAAAAAAAAUGAAACAGAUUUGCCAUUUAAUCAUCAGAUGAAACAGACAAAGAAGAAAAGUUGAGGAAGGAAACUUAUCCGGAACUGUGACGGGUUGCCGGCGACGGACUCGGAUCAAAGCACUCUUCUCCGCCUGAAAUCUCCUUUCCAUCUCCUUUGCCGUGGUAAGUGAAACAAAAUCCCCAUUAUUUCUCUUAAAUCGCCUCAUGCAAGAACAUAGAUUUUGCAGUAAGGGUUUAGAGAUCUAGAAGGUUCGAGCAUGGUUUAGGAAAUUUUGGGUUCAGAUUCGACCUCAGAAGGUCGUGUUUAGUAAGCUAGAUGGUGUUUUGGGGUAGGGUGACCGGAGAAGGAAAGAGGCGUCGCCUUCGGCCGUCUUCUCCGGGAGAAUUUUUUUUAGGGUUUACAGACCCCUUUUUGCGAACGGUUGAAACUAAAGAGAGAGAAAGAAUGGGUAAAAUGCUGAUGUGUUUCCCAAGUUUUCAUUUGUUAAUAACCGUGUUUGGUUUGGUGAGGUGGCGGUGACAAGUGUCACCAACCCUGGACACUUGUCACCGUUUAAAAGAUGAAGCCUCCCGCGUC